ACGGAGGGGGCUAGCGUUGUUCGGAAUUACUGGGCGUAAAGCGCACGUAGGCGGCCACUCAAGUCAGAGGUGAAAGCCCAGGGCUCAACCUUGGAACUGCCUUUGAAACUAGGUAGCUAGAAUUCUGGAGAGGUCAGUGGAAUUCCGAGUGUAGAGGUGAAAUUCGUAGAUAUUCGGAAGAACACCAGUGGCGAAGGCGACUGACUGGACAGAUAUUGACGCUGAGGUGCGAAAGCGUGGGGAGCAAACAGGA
Molecule: ribosomal RNA, 253 nt
Filed under: uncultured prokaryote
Description: partial 16S ribosomal RNA
Rfam family: Bacterial small subunit ribosomal RNA
Source: RNAcentral